RNAcentral lists this long non-coding RNA (1035 nucleotides) under Homo sapiens (human). RNAcentral describes it as "non-protein coding lnc-GLT1D1-2:3". Lineage: Eukaryota; Metazoa; Chordata; Mammalia; Primates; Hominidae. The record is from RNAcentral.
AGCUUAAGCCGCCGAAGGAUGGCCAGAGGGGCCUGGUGUUGUGAAAGAAGCUUGAUGAGCAGCACCGCACCACCAGUGCGAGGCACACCUAUGCCUCGGUGGUGUUUCCCAGACAUCGAGCAUCUCUGGAUCUCAUGACACCCUGCAUCUCUCUCUCCAGCACACCCAUGCUCAUCCUCAGUGACUCCUCUAGAAUUCUUGUGAUUUUUUAACUGGUGGGGGACAGAGAGAUCAUAGGAGCCCAUUUUUCAGAUAGAGAAAACUGAGCCUCAAGACCCGGGGGAGGAUCAAAAGGAACAAGUGGUAUUCUGGAAAAAAGUGGAACAAUGCUGUUUAACUUGCUGGCCGAAACUGGCUCAUCACAAAGGAGAGAGACAGACGAGGGAGCAGUGUGGCCACUUCUGACAUCAGUCUCAGGGAAAACAGUUUCUCACAUUCGUGGUAAAAACUGAAGAGCAUCUCCACUCUAACGAUAAAAAUCAAAAGGCCUUUCAUGUUUUUGCACAUUCAGGUUAAUAUAAUGAGAAAUGACGCUGGGAAUGACUGAUGAGCAGCUGUAAGCCCAUAUGUCUGGGGUGUUGCCUUUUUCUCUGAAUAGCAUACGUGUUUCUGCCUACCAAGAUCUCAGCGUGGCUGAGUGACUGAGCCUUCAGGCUUGGUAUUUCCCUGCCUCCUCUGUGUAUUUCCAAUUCUUUGACGUCACGAAUUUUCUGUUUUGGACAGCUUUGCCUUUUCCAGGAGGUGAAUGGUACGGGGAUGACUCACAGAAGUCUUCAGAUAAGAGGAGGACAAAAGAGACCCUUGUUCAGUGGCAGAAGUACCUGUAAAGCCUUAGCUUUGCCUGAGAUAUGACCUAUAACUGCUCUGAUUUUUGGACCCCAGAAAACCCUUGAAAGCUCAGCUUCCUUAUUGCUGCGUGGUCACCUUAUCACAGCACUGCAGAGCCUAGGAAAUAAAGGCACAGACUCUCUUUAGAAAACAUAUCUCCUUCCCGUCAGUCAAUCAUAAUCCUUAUUGUCACUUCAUACACCCUUU